UGUGCCAGCAGCCGCGGUAAUUCCAGCUCCAAUAGCGUAUAUUAAAGUUGUUGCGGUUAAAAAGCUCGUAGUUGGAUCUCGGCGGGCAGGGGGUGGUUCGCUCUUCAGCGCUACUGCCCCGCUUUGCCCGUGUGAUUGGCGGAGGUUUCGGGGUGCUCUUCGUUGAGUGACUCGGAGCGCCGUCAGGUUUACUUUGAAAAAAUUAGAGUGCUCAAAGCAGGCUUUUCACGCUUGAAUAUUCGUGCAUGGAAUAAUGGAAUAGGAACUCGUUUCUAUUUUGUUGGUUUUCGGAAAUCGAGUUAAUGAUUAACAGGGACAAUUGGGGGCAUUAGUAUUCAGACGACAGAGGUGAAAUUCUUGGACCGUCUGAAGACUGACUACUGCGAAAGCAUUUGCCAAGAGUGUUUUCAUUAAUCAAGAACGAAAGUUAGAGGUUCGAAGGCGAUCAGAUACCGCCCUAGUUCUAACCAUAAACGAUGCCAGCUAGCGAUCUGCCGAGUUUUUUUUGUAGGCUCCGCAGGAAGCUUUCGGGAAACCAAAGCUUUUGGGUUCCGGGGGAAGUAUGGUUGCAAAGCUGAAACUUAAAGGAAUUGACGGAAGGGCACCACCAGGAGUGGAGCCUGCGGCUUAAUUUGACUCAACACGGGAAAUCUCACCAGGCCCGGACACUGGAAGGAUUGACAGAUUGAGAGCUCUUUCUCGAUUCGGUGGGUGGUGGUGCAUGGCCGUUCUUAGUUGGUGGAGUGAUUUGUCUGGUUAAUUCCGAUAACGAACGAGACUCUGUCCUGCUAAAUAGUUGGGUCGUCCUUCGUGCGAUCCAAGUUCUUCUUAGAGGGACUGGCUGCGUCUAGCAGCACGAGAUUGAGCAAUAACAGGUCUGUGAUG
This 885-nucleotide ribosomal RNA is filed under the name uncultured eukaryote. RNAcentral describes it as "SSU rRNA". It matches the Rfam family "Eukaryotic small subunit ribosomal RNA", at positions 563 to 1469 of the family's 1831-position model. The record is from RNAcentral.